UACGAAGGGUGCAAGCGUUGUUCGGAAUUACUGGGCGUAAAGGGCGCGUAGGCUGGUUUGUAAGUCUAAUGUGAAAUCCCCGGGCUUAACCCGGGACGUGCAUUAGAAACUGCAGAUCUUGAAUGCUUGAGAGGGUGGUGGAAUUCCAGGAGUAGAAGUGAAAUUCGUAGAUAUCUGGAGGAACACCUGAGGCGAAGGCGGCCACCUGGCAAGACAUUGACGCUGAGGCGCGAAAGUGCGGGGAGCAAACAGG
Molecule: ribosomal RNA, 253 nt
Filed under: uncultured bacterium
Lineage: Bacteria
Description: partial 16S ribosomal RNA
Rfam family: Bacterial small subunit ribosomal RNA
Source: RNAcentral